RNAcentral lists this ribosomal RNA (253 nucleotides) under uncultured bacterium. Its description in RNAcentral is "partial 16S ribosomal RNA". It matches the Rfam family "Bacterial small subunit ribosomal RNA", at positions 524 to 776 of the family's 1533-position model. The record is from RNAcentral.
UACGUAGGGUGCGAGCGUUGUCCGGAAUUAUUGGGCGUAACGAGCUCGUAGGCGGUUUGUCGCGUCGGCCGUGAAAACUUGGGGCUUAACCCCAAGCCUGCGGUCGAUACGGGCAGACUUGAGUUCGGCAGGGGAGACUGGAAUUCCUGGUGUAGCGGUGAAAUGCGCAGAUAUCUGGAGGAACACCGGUGGCGAAGGCGGCAUCCUGGACCGGUAUUGACGCUGAGGCGCGAAAGCCAGGGGAGCAAACGGG